GUCCAGUCGGGGACAUCUGAUAAAAUUAGAACGAUACAGAAUAAAUUAACAUGAUCCAUGGGAAAGUAUGACACACAAAUCGAAAAAUUGUCCAAAAGAUAA
Molecule: small nuclear RNA, 102 nt
Organism: Erigeron canadensis
Lineage: Eukaryota; Viridiplantae; Streptophyta; Magnoliopsida; Asterales; Asteraceae
Source: RefSeq, a predicted model, not a curated record